GAAGCGGCAACAGCUCAAAUUUGAAAUCUGGCUCUUUUAGAGUCCGAGUUGUAAUUUGCAGAGGGCGCUUUGGCUUUGGCAGCGGUCCAAGUUCCUUGGAACAGGACGUCACAGAGGGUGAGAAUCCCGUACGUGGUCGCUAGCUAUUGCCGUGUAAAGCCCCUUCGACGAGUCGAGUUGUUUGGGAAUGCAGCUCUAAAUGGGAGGUAAAUUUCUUCUAAAGCUAAAUAUUGGCCAGAGACCGAUAGCGCACAAGUAGAGUGAUCGAAAGAUGAAAAGCACUUUGGAAAGAGAGUCAAACAGCACGUGAAAUUGUUGAAAGGGAAGCGCUUGCAGCCAGACUUGCUUGCAGUUGCUCAUCCGGGCUUUUGCCCGGUGCACUCUUCUGCAGGCAGGCCAGCAUCAGUUUGGGCGGUGGGAUAAAGGUCUCUGACACGUUCCUCUCUUCGGGGAGGCCAUAUAGGGGAGACGUCAUACCACCAGCCUGGACUGAGGUCCGCGCAUCUGCUAGGAUGCUGGCGUAAUGGCUGUAAGCGGCCCGUCUUGAAACACGGACCAAGGAGUCUAACAUCUAUGCGAGUGUUUGGGUGUCAAGCCCGAACGCGUAAUGAAAGUGAACGGAGGUGGGAACCCGCAAGGGCGCACCAUCGACCGAUCCUGAAGUUUACGGAAGGAUUUGAGUAAGAGCAUGGCUGUUGGGACCCGAAAGAUGGUGAACUAUGCUUGAAUAGGGUGAAGCCAGAGGAAACUCUGGUGGAGGCUCGCAGCGGUUCUG
RNAcentral lists this ribosomal RNA (775 nucleotides) under Curvularia verruculosa. RNAcentral's name for it is "eukaryotic LSU rRNA". It matches the Rfam family "Eukaryotic large subunit ribosomal RNA", at positions 95 to 888 of the family's 3401-position model. The record is from RNAcentral. Lineage: Eukaryota; Fungi; Ascomycota; Dothideomycetes; Pleosporales; Pleosporaceae.